This 206-nucleotide unclassified non-coding RNA is filed under the name Glomeromycota sp. RNAcentral's name for it is "partial contains 5.8S ribosomal RNA and internal transcribed spacer 2". The stretch from base 1 to 71 matches the Rfam family "5.8S ribosomal RNA", at positions 84 to 154 of the family's 154-position model. Lineage: Eukaryota; Fungi; Glomeromycota. The record is from RNAcentral.
GUGAAUCAUCAAAUCUUUGAACGCAAAUUGCACUUUCUGGUAUUCCGGAGAGUAUGCCUGUUUGAGGGUCAGUUAAUUAAAAAUCGGUGUUAUAGCUAUUAAUGGUCAGGCAUCGCAAUUGAGUAGUCUUUACCUUUUGUUUUAUGUGACUUAAAAUUAUGUACGAUUUCUGAUCGUAUUUAAUUUAUUUUUUUACGUUCAUGAUA